GAGGCUUUAGCUUAAUUAAAGCGUCUGAUUUGCAUUCAGAAGAUGUGGGAUAGUGACCCGUAGGCCUUA
This 69-nucleotide transfer RNA is filed under the name Heteromycteris japonicus. Its description in RNAcentral is "tRNA-Ala". It matches the Rfam family "tRNA". Rfam says of the family: Transfer RNA (tRNA) molecules are approximately 80 nucleotides in length. Their secondary structure includes four short double-helical elements and three loops (D, anti-codon, and T loops). The record is from RNAcentral. Lineage: Eukaryota; Metazoa; Chordata; Actinopteri; Pleuronectiformes; Soleidae.